CCAUUUGAGUGAGUGGCGAACUGGUGAGUAACACGUGGGAAACCUGCCCAGAAGCGGGGGAUAACACCUGGAAACAGAUGCUAAUACCGCAUAACAACUUGGACCGCAUGGUCCGAGCUUGAAAGAUGGCUUCGGCUAUCACUUUUGGAUGGUCCCGCGGCGUAUUAGCUAGAUGGUGGGGUAACGGCUCACCAUGGCAAUGAUACGUAGCCGACCUGAGAGGGUAAUCGGCCACAUUGGGACUGAGACACGGCCCAAACUCCUACGGGAGGCAGCAGUAGGGAAUCUUCCACAAUGGACGAAAGUCUGAUGGAGCAACGCCGCGUGAGUGAAGAAGGGUUUCGGCUCGUAAAACUCUGUUGUUAAAGAAGAACAUAUCUGAGAGUAACUGUUCAGGUAUUGACGGUAUUUAACCAGAAAGCCACGGCUAACUACGUGCCAGCAGCCGCGGUAAUACGUAGGUGGCAAGCGUUGUCCGGAUUUAUUGGGCGUAAAGCGAGCGCAGGCGGUUUUUUAAGUCUGAUGUGAAAGCCUUCGGCUCAACCGAAGAAGUGCAUCGGAAACUGGGAAACUUGAGUGCAGAAGAGGACAGUGGAACUCCAUGUGUAGCGGUGAAAUGCGUAGAUAUAUGGAAGAACACCAGUGGCGAAGGCGGCUGUCUGGUCUGUAACUGACGCUGAGGCUCGAAAGUAUGGGUAGCAAACAGGAUUAGAUACCCUGGUAGUCCAUACCGUAAACGAUGAAUGCUAAGUGUUGGAGGGUUUCCGCCCUUCAGUGCUGCAGCUAACGCAUUAAGCAUUCCGCCUGGGGAGUACGGCCGCAAGGCUGAAACUCAAAGGAAUUGACGGGGGCCCGCACAAGCGGUGGAGCAUGUGGUUUAAUUCGAAGCUACGCGAAGAACCUUACCAGGUCUUGACAUACUAUGCAAAUCUAAGAGAUUAGACGUUCCCUUCGGGGACAUGGAUACAGGUGGUGCAUGGUUGUCGUCAGCUCGUGUCGUGAGAUGUUGGGUUAAGUCCCGCAACGAGCGCAACCCUUAUUAUCAGUUGCCAGCAUUAAGUUGGGCACUCUGGUGAGACUGCCGGUGACAAACCGGAGGAAGGUGGGGAUGACGUCAAAUCAUCAUGCCCCUUAUGACCUGGGCUACACACGUGCUACAAUGGAUGGUACAACGAGUUGCGAACUCGCGAGAGUAAGCUAAUCUCUUAAAGCCAUUCUCAGUUCGGAUUGUAGGCUGCAACUCGCCUACAUGAAGUCGGAAUCGCUAGUAAUCGCGGAUCAGCAUGCCGCGGUGAAUACGUUCCCGGGCCUUGUACACACCGCCCGUCACACCAUGAGAGUUUGUAACACCCAAAGUCGGUGGGGUAACCUUUUAGGACCCA
Molecule: ribosomal RNA, 1382 nt
Filed under: Lactiplantibacillus plantarum
Lineage: Bacteria; Bacillati; Bacillota; Bacilli; Lactobacillales; Lactobacillaceae
Description: bacterial SSU rRNA
Rfam family: Bacterial small subunit ribosomal RNA
Source: RNAcentral